This 1903-nucleotide long non-coding RNA is filed under the name Nicotiana tabacum (common tobacco). RNAcentral's name for it is "long non-coding RNA (NTAB_LNC008658)". Lineage: Eukaryota; Viridiplantae; Streptophyta; Magnoliopsida; Solanales; Solanaceae. The record is from RNAcentral.
CGGUCUUCAGUUUCUCAUCUCACACCGUGCGCUCUCUCUCUCUUUCUCUCCUCUUUUUCUCUCUUUAGAUUCUUUGGGUAUAGAUCUCUCUAUUCCACUUCGUUUUCUCCCUAAGUUUGGAAUUAAAGAUGCAUAUUAUGGGCUGUUGAUUUUGUUCCUGGGUUUCUUUUGGUAUUCGAGAGGUCUGGUUGAUUUGAACCCAAGACGAAGUUGCUUCCACUAUAACUCUUCACAACAAAGCAAGACUGGAGAAGAUGACCAUUUGUGAUUGGCUAUUUGCCGCGUCUAUCAGGUGUUGGGGUGUACUUUGCUUUGUCAAACACGUGGUAUGCAAUUCUUGAAUCUUCCCUUGUGUCUGUUGUUCCCUCUUUGUUUUUCCUUUUAGGUUUGGAAUUAAAGCUAUGUAAUUUGGGUUGAGUUCAUUCUCAUAGGAUUGGAGUCAGUGCUGGAUAUGUAUCUUCAAAGAGCGACGAGUGUAGGUCUGGUAAAACGUGGCUGCCAACGAAGUUGGACUCACUGUUUGUCUGCUCAUCCUCUUCCUCACUCUGUUUUGCGCAGUUCGAUUUUCUUUUUAUGGCUGCUGGGUGAUUUAUUUCUCUUACUCAUGUUGUUCCCCGUGUUGGCGCUGCUGAAACGUAAAAUUACGAGUUCUGUUGAGAAGGAGACUUGCUUUUGUUGGAAUGUCAUGUUCGUUUGGUGUGUGCUACUCUGAUGACAAGUUUGACUUGGUUCUUUCAGUUAGCUUUCUGUUUCAUCUUGAUAAAUCUUAUGGCUCUAAUUGGCUUAUUAACUGACAUAUAACGAACUAUAUAUAUGAAUUAAGUUGUUAGUUAAAGAUGACAUUGGAUUCAUGGCAAUUCGAUACUAUAAAUGAAUUCAGGAUGAGGUGCAUUUUUUUGGUUUUAAUAUUUAAAAAGCGAUAACCAAUUGCGUGACAUAUUUUUAUUGGGUUCUCUGGAGUUUUAUUUGGAUUAAGGUUUAGGAAAUUGGAUGAACGAAGAGAAGUAAAGAGAAGAAAGACAGGCACAUCGAAAAAGAGGAAGAGACUCUAUGUCGCGGAAUUGUUAGAGAUGGAUGCUGACUUAAAGGGGGUGGCGGGAAAUGAAUUGGGAGUUGGUGAGGUUGGAAAGAUUUGAGACUCUGGCUGCUGAAAUUUUGAAGAGGUCGAGUUGUCUUUGUGUGUGUAGGCUACGAUAAUUUAUUUUAUUUAAUUUCGGUUAGCGUUGGGAUAUAUGUUACCUGGAGGAAGAUUAUUAUCACAUGACAGAUUGGUUAGGUCAUUGCGAAGAAAGAAAUUUAACUUUUAGAAUACAGAAGAUUGGUAUGGUCGUGUAACUGCAUUAGAUGACAUGAUCGUAGCAGCAGAUUUAUCAGCUCCUAAUAUGCUUAUAUGUGCUUACAAAAUUAACAAUGAGACCGAAAAAGAAGAAUAGUUUGCAAGGAGAUGCUUGUAUGUGCCCCUAUGAUUACUUUGUAUUCGUCGAUUACAGACAAGCUGAAUAUUGAUGUUGUUGCAUUUUCUCUUGCUUCCAUUGUUUUCACACAUUGGAGAACUUCAAUUAAGUUGUCGAUAACACCAGCAGACAUAAUGAGGAUCUUGUUAUUCUCAUGUAUUGAAAGGUUGAGAAAUGUUGUGACUGCAUUCUCCCGGAUUCUUGUAUCACGGGAACCAAGCAGAGUCACCGGAAAUGGAAUAGCUCUAGACUCAGCUAUGAUUCUGCGAUUGUCCAUUCCAGUUUUCGCGAGCAAUCUUAGCUCAUAUGUUGCAUGUCUCUGUAUAUCUGGAGAUCAUGUUGCCAGUUUUCUAACUAAAAACUCUGUUGUCAUUUUCACAGCAUAUGUGGCAGCUUUAGUACCAGAAAUGUAGUCAAUCGCCUUGUCACAUUUCUUAAUCUUACUGCUG